GAAAUGCGAUAAGUAAUGUGAAUUGCAGAAUUCAGUGAAUCAUCGAAUCUUUGAACGCACAUUGCGCCCGCCAGUAUUCUGGCGGGCAUGUCUGUUCGAGCGUCAUUUCAACCAUCAAGCCCCCGGGCUUGUGUUGGGGACCUGCGGCUGCCGCAGGCCCCGAAAACCAGUGGCGGGCUCGCUGUCACACCGGGCGUAGUAGAUUUUUCGUCUCGCCCAGGGCGUGCUGCGGGUUCCGGCCGUUAAAAAGCCUCUCUUUUUAACCCAAGGUUGACCUCGGAUCAGGUAGGAAGACCCGCUGAACUUAAGC
Molecule: unclassified non-coding RNA, 310 nt
Filed under: plant metagenome
Description: partial contains 5.8S ribosomal RNA, internal transcribed spacer 2, and large subunit ribosomal RNA
Rfam family: 5.8S ribosomal RNA (bases 1-105)
Source: RNAcentral